This 500-nucleotide ribosomal RNA is filed under the name uncultured bacterium. RNAcentral's name for it is "partial 16S ribosomal RNA". It matches the Rfam family "Bacterial small subunit ribosomal RNA", at positions 30 to 523 of the family's 1533-position model. The record is from RNAcentral.
AUUGAACGCUGGCGGAAUGCUUUACACAUGCAAGUCGAACGGCAGCACGGGGGCAACCCUGGUGGCGAGUGGCGAACGGGUGAGUGAUACAUCGGAACGUGCCCAGUCGUGGGGGAUAACGUAGCGAAAGUUACGCUAAUACCGCAUACGAUCUACGGAUGAAAGCGGGGGACCGUAAGGCCUCGCGCGAUUGGAGCGGCCGAUGUCAGAUUAGGUAGUUGGUGAGGUAAAGGCUCACCAAGCCGACGAUCUGUAGCUGGUCUGAGAGGACGACCAGCCACACUGGGACUGAGACACGGCCCAGACUCCGACGGGAGGCAGCAGUGGGGAAUUUUGGACAAUGGGCGCAAGCCUGAUCCAGCCAUUCCGCGUGCAGGACGAAGGCCUUCGGGUUGUAAACUGCUUUUGUACGGAACGAAAAGGCUCUGGUUAAUACCUGGGGCUCAUGACGGUACCGUAAGAAUAAGCACCGGCUAACUACGUGCCAGCCGCCGCAGUAA